AAACCAUGACUAGGACAUUUCCUUAACAUAGACUUGUAUCUCUCCCAAGCUUCACAGAGUGUCUCAUUAGAACCUUGAGAAAACACAGCAAUAGAUGUUUUGGCCU
Trifolium pratense (red clover) is the source of this 106-nucleotide small nucleolar RNA. The record is from RefSeq and is a predicted model, not a curated record. NCBI's taxonomy places the organism in Eukaryota, Viridiplantae, Streptophyta, Magnoliopsida, Fabales, Fabaceae.